UACGAAGGGGGCUAGCGUUGCUCGGAAUCACUGGGCGUAAAGCGGACGUAGGCGGAUUGCUAAGUCAGGGGUGAAAUCCUGGAGCUCAACUCCAGAACUGCCUUUGAUACUGGCGACCUUGAGUCCGGGAGAGGUGAGUGGAACUGCGAGUGUAGAGGUGAAAUUCGUAGAUAUUCGCAAGAACACCAGUGGCGAAGGCGGCUCACUGGCCCGGUACUGACGCUGAGGUGCGAAAGCGUGGGGAGCAAACAGG
This 253-nucleotide ribosomal RNA is filed under the name uncultured bacterium. Its description in RNAcentral is "partial 16S ribosomal RNA". It matches the Rfam family "Bacterial small subunit ribosomal RNA", at positions 524 to 776 of the family's 1533-position model. The record is from RNAcentral.